UACGGGGGGGGCAAGCGUUGUUCGGAAUUACUGGGCGUAAAGGGCGCGUAGGCGGUCAGCACAGGUCAGUUGUGAAAUCUCCGGGCUUAACUCGGAAAGGUCAACUGAUACUGUGCGACUAGAGUGCAGAAGGGGCAACUGGAAUUCUCGGUGUAGCGGUGAAAUGCGUAGAUAUCGAGAGGAACACCUGCGGCGAAGGCGACUUUCUGGUCUGUAACUGACACUGAGGCGCGAAAGCGUGGGGAGCGAACAGG
Molecule: ribosomal RNA, 254 nt
Filed under: uncultured bacterium
Lineage: Bacteria
Description: partial 16S ribosomal RNA
Rfam family: Bacterial small subunit ribosomal RNA
Source: RNAcentral